UCUGUGAUAUCUAUAUGCCACAUCUGUAAAAUAGGAUAGGAGUUCUACCUCAGUCAGCCCAGCAUAUGGGGCAAACGUUUUCGACGUCAGCCAACUGACUGCCUGUAAGCUGCAGGGCUACUACCCUUUCAUACAGGCAGUUAACAUGGAGAGGAUUUGAAAAGUUCAAUCCUCUUCUCAUCACAGAGAUGCUUUGAAGUUAUGAGAAUCUCUCGUCUCAAUCACUUUUUUUCUGCAGUUCCACACACAGGAGGACCAAAGGAGAGUGCCUAGAUUUAUGAAGGAUCCUUAAAAGUGCCGCUCAUGAGGUUGCUCGCUGUUGGAUCGCUCUCUGAAUACAUCCCAAAUGCAAUCCUAUUCCCUUUAUAGUGCACUACUCUAGACACAGCCUACUUUUACACAUGCUACUGCCAGAUGAGCUGCAACAAAACCCAUUAAUCACACUGAAUUAAAACAUGCUGGACAUUAAAGUGAUUAAUUCAAGGAGUCAAGUCAAGAGCCCGGAGAGUAAAUCUCCUAUUGGUUUAUUUACUGCCCCAAUGCAUACUGUCUGUCACUUACUUCAAACAGGUCUGCAUUAGAGCCUGGAGGGGUUGUGAACUAUGUGAUGUCUGGUGUGUUGUGCCAUUGCCAGUUGCUUGAGUGUGUGUUCCUAUUGUGCUGUCAACUCCUCUCAGGUUAGUCAGUCUGCUCUCAUAGAAACGUGUCUUUCUCUUUAUUCAACACUUUGUACAAUGUAGUGUACUCUCAUACCAAACAUAUGAAGACAUUAGAUUGAGUCAUUAUAUUGAUUGUGAUACAGUAUAUCGUACUUCUCAUUAAUUACUUAAAAGUGAUGACACGAAUAAUCGAAAUAUAAGCAGCAAAUUGGAAUUUUACAUAAUAUGCCUAAAAUAUUCUGCCCUCUGGUAAACAUAUAUUUAUAUUUCACUUAAAAAGUCCAAUUUAAAAUUCAAAAUAGUAUUUUUAAACAUUCCAGUACAUGACUGUGAAAAAAACAUUCGGCAGAGCAAGAUUGAAUAAAACACACACUUCCCCGACCUAUUCAAUACCCAUCAUCACUUCCCCCCACGCUUCCCCAACCUAUUCAAUACCCCGCACUUCCACAACCUAUCCAAUACCCC
Molecule: long non-coding RNA, 1124 nt
Organism: Oncorhynchus tshawytscha (Chinook salmon)
Lineage: Eukaryota; Metazoa; Chordata; Actinopteri; Salmoniformes; Salmonidae
Source: Ensembl